UUAUUACUCCCUCCGUCCAAAAAUACUUGUCAUCAAAAUGGAUAAAAAGAGAUGUAUCUAGAACUAAAAUAUGUCUAGAUACAUCUCCUUUAAUUCAUUUUGAUGACAAGUAUUUCCGGACGGAGGGAGUAGAAC
Triticum aestivum (bread wheat) is the source of this 135-nucleotide non-coding RNA. Lineage: Eukaryota; Viridiplantae; Streptophyta; Magnoliopsida; Poales; Poaceae. The record is from Rfam.